RNAcentral lists this long non-coding RNA (1310 nucleotides) under Homo sapiens (human). RNAcentral describes it as "long non-coding RNA NONHSAT180490.1". Lineage: Eukaryota; Metazoa; Chordata; Mammalia; Primates; Hominidae. The record is from RNAcentral.
UGGAAGGGGACACCGAUUUCAAGGCCAAGGUCCUCAGCCCUCGCUCUCGCUGGCGGAGCAGCACCUGGAGUCGCCCGUGCCCAGCGCCCCGGGGGCUCUGGCGGGCGGUCCCACCCAGGCGGCCCCGGGAGUCCGCGGGGAGGAGGAACAGUGGGCCCGGGAGAUCGGGGCCCAGCUGCGGCGGAUGGCGGACGACCUCAACGCACAGUACGAGCGGCGGAGACAAGAGGAGCAGCAGCGGCACCGCCCCUCACCCUGGAGGGUCCUGUACAAUCUCAUCAUGGGACUCCUGCCCUUACCCAGGGGCCACAGAGCCCCCGAGAUGGAGCCCAAUUAGGUGCCUGCACCCGCCCGGUGGACGUCAGGGACUCGGGGGGCAGGCCCCUCCCACCUCCUGACACCCUGGCCAGCGCGGGGGACUUUCUCUGCACCAUGUAGCAUACUGGACUCCCAGCCCUGCCUGUCCCGGGGGCGGGCCGGGGCAGCCACUCCAGCCCCAGCCCAGCCUGGGGUGCACUGACGGAGAUGCGGACUCCUGGGUCCCUGGCCAAGAAGCCAGGAGAGGGACGGCUGAUGGACUCAGCAUCGGAAGGUGGCGGUGACCGAGGGGGUGGGGACUGAGCCGCCCGCCUCUGCCGCCCACCACCAUCUCAGGAAAGGCUGUUGUGCUGGUGCCCGUUCCAGCUGCAGGGGUGACACUGGGAGGGGGGGGCUCUCCUCUCGGUGCUCCUUCACUCUGGGCCUGGCCUCAGGCCCCUGGUGCUUCCCCCCCUCCUCCUGGGAGGGGGCCCGUGAAGAGCAAAUGAGCCAAACGUGACCACUAGCCUCCUGGAGCCAGAGAGUGGGGCUCGUUUGCCGGUUGCUCCAGCCCGGCGCCCAGCCAUCUUCCCUGAGCCAGCCGGCGGGUGGUGGGCAUGCCUGCCUCACCUUCAUCAGGGGGUGGCCAGGAGGGGCCCAGACUGUGAAUCCUGUGCUCUGCCCGUGACCGCCCCCCGCCCCAUCAAUCCCAUUGCAUAGGUUUAGAGAGAGCACGUGUGACCACUGGCAUUCAUUUGGGGGGUGGGAGAUUUUGGCUGAAGCCGCCCCAGCCUUAGUCCCCAGGGCCAAGCGCUGGGGGGAAGACGGGGAGUCAGGGAGGGGGGGAAAUCUCGGAAGAGGGAGGAGUCUGGGAGUGGGGAGGGAUGGCCCAGCCUGUAAGAUACUGUAUAUGCGCUGCUGUAGAUACCGGAAUGAAUUUUCUGUACAUGUUUGGUUAAUUUUUUUUGUACAUGAUUUUUGUAUGUUUCCUUUUCAAUAAAAUCAGAUUGGAA